Molecule: ribosomal RNA, 253 nt
Filed under: uncultured bacterium
Lineage: Bacteria
Description: partial 16S ribosomal RNA
Rfam family: Bacterial small subunit ribosomal RNA
Source: RNAcentral
UACGAAGGGGGCGAGCGUUGUUCGGAUUUACUGGGCGUAAAGGGCGCGCAGGCGGCGCAUUUUGUCAGGCGUGAAAGCCCCGGGCUUAACCUGGGAACUGCGUUUGAUACGGAUGGGCUAGAGUUCGGGAGAGGAGAGUGGAAUUCCCAGUGUAGAGGUGAAAUUCGUAGAUAUUGGGAAGAACACCAGUGGCGAAGGCGGCUAACUGGUCCAGUACUGACGCUGAGGUGCGAAAGCGUGGGGAGCAAACAGG